Molecule: transfer RNA, 68 nt
Filed under: Marmota monax (woodchuck)
Lineage: Eukaryota; Metazoa; Chordata; Mammalia; Rodentia; Sciuridae
Description: tRNA.Ala
Source: RNAcentral
GGAUUAUGGCUUAGCGGUAGAGUGCUCGCUUAGCAUGUGUGGGGCCCUGGGUUCGAUCCUCAGCACCA